CGGUACAUACUGAGGAGACGCGAUGCGUACGGUAGUGAUGUGCCAAAUACUUUUAUUUAGGGAUGUGCACUCGAGAACAGCAGAUGUUACGCUAGAUACGGAUGCUAUCUUUAAUAUAUAAAAAAGUGCAUGAUUGAAUAUGAUGAUAUUACGGUUUAAACAAGCCCGGACACGAAAAAUUUGCUAAUCGGAGAAUGGCCGUUA
Molecule: unclassified non-coding RNA, 204 nt
Filed under: Melitaea cinxia (Glanville fritillary)
Lineage: Eukaryota; Metazoa; Arthropoda; Insecta; Lepidoptera; Nymphalidae
Description: misc RNA ENSMCXG00005016740.1
Source: RNAcentral